AUGUACAUUCCUACAACAUAGCAUUAAUGCAUAGGAUCCCAUUAGAACUCUGCAGUUAAGUGUGCUCAGGAUAGAGUAGUACUAGGAUGGGUGACCGCUCAGGAAGUCCUAGUGUUUUACAUG
Non-coding RNA from Picea glauca (white spruce), 123 nucleotides. The record is from Rfam. NCBI's taxonomy places the organism in Eukaryota, Viridiplantae, Streptophyta, Pinopsida, Pinales, Pinaceae.